AGCAGUCGCCGCGGGAAUACGGAGGGUGCAAGCGUUAUCCGGAUUUAUUGGGUUUAAAGGGUCCGUAGGCGGACUUAUAAGUCAGUGGUGAAAGCCUGUCGCUUAACGAUAGAACUGCCAUUGAUACUGUAAGUCUUGAGUAUAUUUGAGGUAGCUGGAAUAAGUAGUGUAGCGGUGAAAUGCAUAGAUAUUACUUAGAACACCAAUUGCGAAGGCAGGUUACCAAGAUAUAACUGACGCUGAGGGACGAAAGCGUGGGUAGCGAACAGGAUUAGAUACCCGCGUAGUCCCUGUCUCUUAUAC
RNAcentral lists this ribosomal RNA (303 nucleotides) under uncultured bacterium. RNAcentral's name for it is "partial 16S ribosomal RNA". It matches the Rfam family "Bacterial small subunit ribosomal RNA", at positions 507 to 807 of the family's 1533-position model. The record is from RNAcentral.